This 434-nucleotide ribosomal RNA is filed under the name uncultured bacterium. RNAcentral describes it as "partial 16S ribosomal RNA". It matches the Rfam family "Bacterial small subunit ribosomal RNA", at positions 29 to 507 of the family's 1533-position model. The record is from RNAcentral.
AGCGAACGCUGGCGGCAGGCCUAACACAUGCAAGUCGAACGAACCUUUCGGGGUUAGUGUCGGACGGGUGAGUAACACGUGGGAACGUGCCUUUAGGUUCGGAAUAACUCAGGGAAACUUGUGCUAAUACCGAAUGUGCCCUUCGGGGGAAAGAUUUAUCGCCUUUAGAGCGGCCCGCGUCUGAUUAGCUAGUUGGUUGAGGUAAUGGCUCACCAAGGCGACGAUCAGUAGCUGGUCUGAGAGGAUGAUCAGCCACAUUGGGACUGAGACACGGCCCAAACUCCUACGGGAUGCAGCAGUGGGGAAUCUUGCGCAAUGGGCGAAAGGCUGACGCAGCCAUGCCGCGUGAAUGAUGAAGGUAGUAGGAUUGUAAAAUGCUUUCACCGGGGAAGAUAAUGACGGUACCUGGAGAAGAAGCCCCGGCUAACUUCGUG